RNAcentral lists this ribosomal RNA (253 nucleotides) under uncultured bacterium. Its description in RNAcentral is "partial 16S ribosomal RNA". It matches the Rfam family "Bacterial small subunit ribosomal RNA", at positions 524 to 776 of the family's 1533-position model. The record is from RNAcentral.
UACGAAGGGGGCUAGCGUUGCUCGGAAUCUCUGGGCGUAAAGCGCACGUAGGCGGACUCUUAAGUCGGUGGUGAAAUCCUGGAGCUCAACUCCAGAACUGCCUUCGAUACUGAGAGUCUCGAGUCCGGGAGAGGUGAGUGGAACUGCGAGUGUAGAGGUGAAAUUCGUAGAUAUUCGCAAGAACACCAGUGGCGAAGGCGGCUCACUGGCCCGGUACUGACGCUGAGGUGCGAAAGCGUGGGGAGCAAACAGG